AACGCACAUUGCGCCCGCUAGUAUUCUGGCGGGCAUGCCUGUUCGAGCGUCAUUUCAACCAUCAAGCCCUAGGCUUGCGUUGGAGCCCUGCGGCCGCCGCAGCCUCCUAAAACCAGUGGCGGGCUCGCUAUCACACCGAGUGCAGUAGUUUACUCUUCGCUCAGGGCGUGUGGCGGGUGCUGGCCGUAAAACCCCCUACUUCUUAAGGUUGACCUCGGAUCAGGUAGGAAUACCCGCUGAACUUAA
Molecule: unclassified non-coding RNA, 246 nt
Filed under: uncultured Podospora
Lineage: Eukaryota; Fungi; Ascomycota; Sordariomycetes; Sordariales; Lasiosphaeriaceae
Description: sequence contains ITS2
Source: RNAcentral